GUUUGCAUAUCCUUUGUAUGUGAGCCAUAGACAUCACCAGGUGUGAGUUUCUCUAGCUCCUGCUUGUUUCAGGGGCUAAUUGCCUCAGGUUUCUCCUCAGCUUGUGGUUUCAGGUCAAGUGAAUGACUUGAGGACCUCACAAGCAUAUGUACAGUGGCUACACUGCAAGAUGCACAACUCUAAAAACAGGAUUACAGUCUGCUAAGAAGCACCUGCACUGUUCAGUCAAAAAGCCAGCAGAGCUCUGGAAAAAACCUGUUGUGGACAGCUGAGACCAAGACUGACUUGCAUCAGAGUGAUGGCAAGAGCAAAGUGCGGUGUCUAAAAGGAAUGGCUCGACAACCAAAGCAGCCCACACCGAUCUGUGAAACAUGGUGGCGGGGGUGUCAUAGGUGCUGGCUCACGUGCCUUUGUCAAUAAUGUAACAGCUGGUAGCAGCAACAGAGUUAAAUCUGAAGUGUACUGGAACAUUUUCUCUGCUCAAGUUCAAUCGAAUGACAAAAUUGGACGGUGCUUCAUCCCACAGCAAGGCAAUGAUCCCAAACAUACACCAGUGCUCUCUUCCUUCUUAAUGAUGAUGUUCCAAUUAGUUUGUUUUUCGGGAAGGCAAUUGUUUGCCCCAUGAUGGGUCAACCUCAUAAUGGCUACCUUGACUGUCAUUGGCCAAAUUCUGGUCCUCAUGUUGACAAACGCCAAAGGCUCCAAAGGCAAUCAAAAGCCUAGAAUCAAGACAAGAUUAGACACUGAAAGCUUUCUUUUCCCUGCACCGAGUAAGUGAGUGAAUACACCCGACAAAUCAGAAACAACUGAGAAGCCAACUGUCCAAUUGCUUGUGGUCCCCUAAAAUGAAGGGACUAUGAAUAAAAACGGUUGUAAUUCA
Long non-coding RNA from Conger conger (European conger), 880 nucleotides. RefSeq lists it as uncharacterized. NCBI's taxonomy places the organism in Eukaryota, Metazoa, Chordata, Actinopteri, Anguilliformes, Congridae. The record is from RefSeq and is a predicted model, not a curated record. The transcript has 2 exons.